UCUCUGUAUGUUCGGACGCUACGGAUCUACAGGAAUCGGCUUGGGGAUAGCGGCGCUCUUCAGGUGGCCCGGCUGCUCCUUUUGCAGCCUGCACCGG
RNAcentral lists this non-coding RNA (97 nucleotides) under Polarella glacialis. Lineage: Eukaryota; Dinophyceae; Suessiales; Suessiaceae. The record is from RNAcentral.